RNAcentral lists this long non-coding RNA (767 nucleotides) under Homo sapiens (human). RNAcentral describes it as "long non-coding RNA NONHSAT222695". The record is from RNAcentral. Lineage: Eukaryota; Metazoa; Chordata; Mammalia; Primates; Hominidae.
CUCUGAGAAGAUUCACGAGAGAUCUGGACCCAAAAGGGGGAAACAUGCCUGGACCCACAGACUGCGUGAGAGAAAGCAGCUGGUGAUUUAUGAAGAGAUCAGCGACCCUGAGGAAGAUGACAAGUAACUCCAUAAGUGAACCUUCGGCUCACCCUCCACAUCCCUGCAGAUGUGCUAUUCUGUUAUGCCUCAGGGAUACGACACAUGCCCAUGAUGAGAAGCAGAACGUGGUGACCUUUCACGAACGUGGGCAUGGCUGCGGACCCCUCGUCAUCAGGUGUAUAGCAAGUGAAAGCAAGUGUUCACAACAGUGAAAAGUUGAGCGUCAUUUUUCUUAGUGUGCCAAGAGUUCGAUGUUGGCGUUUCCGUUGUAUUUUCUUGCAGUGUGCCAUUCUGUUAGACAUUAGCAUUUUCGUUGAUGAGCAAGACAUGCUUAAUGCAUAUUUCGGCUUGUGUAUCCAUGCACCUACCUCAGAAAACAAGUAUUGUCAGGUAUUCUCUCCAUAGAACAGCACUACCCUCCUCUCUCCCCAGAUGUGACUACUGAGGGGAGGUCUGAGUGUUUAAUUUCCGAUUUUUUCCUCUGCAUUUACACACACACCACACACGCACACACACACACCAAGUACCAGUAUAAGCAUCUCCCAUCUGCUUUUCUCCACUGCCAUGUGUCCUGGUCAAGCCCCCCUCACUCUGUUUCCUGUUCAGCAUGUACUCCCCUCAUCCGAUUCCCCUCUAUCAGUCACUGACAGUUAAUAAACCUUUGC